UCCGAGUUGACCCCGGCAGUCUCCCUAGAGUUCCCGGCAUUACCCGCUGGCAACUAGGAAAAGGGGUUGCGCUCGUUGCGCCACUUAAGGCAACACCUCACGGCACGAGCUGACGACAGCCAUGCAGCACCUGUGCGGGCUCCCGUAGGAGGACCGUGUUUCCACGGCUUCACCCCGCAUGUCAAGCCCUGGUAAGGUUCUUCGCGUUGCGUCGAAUUAAGCAACAUGCUCCACCGCUUGUGUGAGCCCCCGUCAAUUCCUUUGAGUUUUAGCCUUGCGACCGUACUCCCCAGGCGGCGCGCUUAUCGCUUUUGCUUCGACCGAACCGGCGUCAGAGCCGCUCCGAUCUAGCGCGCAUUGUUUACGGCGUGGACUAC
RNAcentral lists this unclassified non-coding RNA (377 nucleotides) under uncultured Actinomycetes bacterium. RNAcentral's name for it is "uncultured actinobacterium contains 16S-23S intergenic spacer region". The record is from RNAcentral. Lineage: Bacteria; Bacillati; Actinomycetota; Actinomycetes.